Molecule: long non-coding RNA, 11055 nt
Organism: Acinonyx jubatus (cheetah)
Lineage: Eukaryota; Metazoa; Chordata; Mammalia; Carnivora; Felidae
Exons: 3
Source: RefSeq, a predicted model, not a curated record
GCAGAGAGAAAGGGAGACACAGAAUGUGAAGCAGGCUCCAGUCUCCGAGCUGUCAGCACAGAGCCCGACGCGGGGCUUGAACCUAUGGACCGUGAGAUCAUGACCUGAGCGGAAGUCGGAAGCUUAACAGACUGAGCCCCCCAGGCGCCCCUCUGUCUCCCUUUCUUGGCUCCCCUUUCUCACUGAGGCUAGAUUUGUAGGAAGAUGUCCUCUGCGUGCAGGCUGCUGGCGGCUGUGGUCAGUGCAGAGAUGCUGUAGUUACAGAGUUAUGGUGAACCUCAGGCCUGAGCCUUGUGGGCUCCUGUUCCCUUCUCUGAAGUGAUCUCUAUGGCCUGGGGACCACAUCCCGGUUGGUCAGGCCUGGAGUGGGGGCAUGGGGUCAGCCCCACUGAAGCAUAAGUCCUCCAAGUGGUAGCGGAGUGGGUCCCUAAAGGAUUUUGGGUGCUGUAACCAAAAGAAGGCGAAUGGAUGCUGGGUGGGAAAUACAGAAAAAACCCACUUGUAUGGUGAACACAGACAUGUGAAAAAAAAGUCUGUUGGGGAAAAGCCUGGCAGGAAAUAAAGCAAAUUGCCCAGAAGAUAUUCUUUUUUUUUUUUAAGUUUAUUUUCAGAUUUUGAGAUUUUGAGAGAGAAAGAGUGCGAGUGAGCUCACGCUCUUGUGUGUGUGUGAGUAGGGGAGGGGCAGAGAGAGAGGGAGAGGGAGAAAAUCCCAAGCAGGCUCUGCAUUGUCAGAACAAAGCCUGACACAGAGCUGGUACCUACGAACUGUGAGAUCGUGACCUGAGGCAAAAUUAGGAGUCGGAUGCUUAAUCAACUGAGCCACCUAGGCACCCCCCACUCCCAAAGAUAUUCUGAUUAUUGUAACAAAAUCAGAAAAUACAUAUCAGAAAUAAUUAAAUAAAAGUAAAUAACAAUAAAAAGAAGACUCACUGUGAACCAUAUGUUGGGCUCAGUGAGUGGGAAGUCUGUUACCUUAGCACAUAGAAACUCUCUCACACACACAUCCUUCAAACACACAGAAAUGCUGGAUUAAACACUGUCCACAAUAGGUUAACUGCGUAACACCGGUAGCGAAAAGGGUGCAUAGCAGGGGGAGGCGGUCUGGCCCCAGUCCAACUGUAAGGAUGGGCCUGACUAUCUAAGCCAUUUCCCUGAGGGGGUCCCUGGAUCAGGCAUAGGCCUUCAUGCAAUGCUAGCCAUGGAGGCAUGAGAGCAAGGUGAGUUCUGCUAGAGACCUUGAGAGGUUUCCUCACUCAUUAGGAGACCCAGGAAGAGGCAGUCCUCCUCUGCUCUUGUACGUGAUCACAUUUAGUUUGGCUUCUUGUAACCAUGAGGGCACCCGGCCUGAGAAAAAGCCCCACAUAGAGAGUAGUGGAACCAUGGAGAUUAUAGAAAAGUAGAGCAAGCCUUGAUCAAACUCUACCUGCAACCACCCAGCCACCAGCUUUCCCAUGAUGGGUGGUGAUUUGUUUCCAAGUUGUUUCAGCAAAUUGAGCCAGGGCUUUCUGUUACUAGCCCCCAAAAGCGUCUUAAGGAAUAGCAUCCCUAGCCUGAAAGUCAUCCAAGGAACUUGAGCUAUGAGGCCCCACCAACCCUGCCUCUCCAGAGCACCCUGGGUCCUCUGGCUACCGUGGCCACUGCUCUCCAGUCAUAUCCCUUCUGCCUAGGCUUCAGACUUCUCCACCCCAAGACUUCUGCCCACACUGAUCCAGAAAUCUCCCCAUAGGGUCCCUCCCACACCUUUCCUUAGAUUCCUUCCUGGCUUUGGCACUCAUCUAGAGCCACCACCACGGUAGAAACACUGCAGGGCUCAUCAAAAAAGGCAAAAGCCGUCAUUUCUCCCCAGAGUCUAACAGAACUAUAAACCAAUCUAGUCCAUGGCCAUCCAUAGUGGGUUGAAUUGUGGGCCCCCCAAAGGUAUGUCUUUAUCCUAACCCCUGGAACCUGUGAAUGUGUCCUUGUUUGGACAGAGAGUCUUUGCAGACAUAGUUAAAUUAAGGGUCUUGAGAUCAUCCAGAAUUAGGGUAGGUCCUAAAUCCAAUGGCUAGUCUCUUUGGUUGUUGUUGUUUGUUUUGUUUUGUUUUGUUUUGAUUUUCAAUGGCUAGUUUCUUUACAAGAGAAGAGAAGUGUUCUGUGUUUUCUUAGGUUCUGUAAGUCUGUUUGGCAUCUAUCAAUCACAGGACCACACUAUUGGCCAGAGUAUUUACCUCUCUCCUGCAGGUCAGUUUGCCAGGAACUCUCCCUUCUGAUGCAGGCGGGCUACCUAAGGCUGAGCCCCCACCUACCUUCUGAUCUCUUGCACACCAGGCCAACAUUGUCCCUGCCCCCAAGUAAUCCCAGGGCCAGGUGCCUGCAACUGGAGACACUCCUAUAGCCCAAAGCCUGUGGGAAUUAUUCCAAAUAGCCAGUCCUGCAGGGUUUACUCAGCCUUGCCUUGCCUUCCCCUUGCUCCUGUCUUCUGCCUCCUGACCACCACGUUUCCCGUGCGGCCUUGCGUGGCGGGGCACGCCCCUUCUCUCGGGAAGUGUAAGUAAUAAAUUCUUUCGAUGACGUUGACCUCUCUGUGUCAUCUUUAGAUCACCUCCAUAACUCAAAAUCGCCCGGGUACAAAUGACCCAAUAUGGGAGAAGGAGAAGGGAGAGCACAAGGACACAGGCAAGACGGCCAUGUGAAGACAGAGCCGUGAAUUGGAGCGAUCUGAGGAACACCAGGAACCACCAGAAGCUGCAAGAGGCAAGGAAGGUUCUACCCUAGAGCUUUCAGGGGGCGCGUGUUCCUGCAGACACCGUGAUUUUGGCCCUCUGGCCUCUGGAACUGCGAGAGAAUAGCUUUCUGUUGCUGCGAGGGCCCCAGUUGUGGUGAUUUGUGACAGCAGCCCAGGAAGCUAACAGAGCAGCUGACAACGAUGAGCAGUGAUUGACUCUUGACUCAACGCACGCACAGCCUCUGAGCUACUUACUCCUCCCGACGAGGCCCGUUGUAGGUAGUGUUAUCCCAUUUCUCGGGUGGGAAAAGCGUGGCUCAGCCGGGGCCAGAGCGGGGAUGUGAGCCAGGCCAUCUGGCCAAGCCCCCAAGGCUGUGCUGCUAACCACUGGACGAUCCUGUGAGCUGAGCUCGUGGAACCACCCUUCAGAGCAGGUCAGAAUUUGCCUCCACAAACCUGUGCGUUCACACGGGGACCCCAUUCCUCUCCUUUAUCUCAGAGUCCCCAGGGCUGCCACCCACUCUCUACACCUGCUGUGAUGGGCACCUUCGCUGUGGUCACUGCUCUGGCUGUUGCCACCCAGGUGUGGCCACUGGGAUCUGGCCCACUCCCUGGGCUCCCAUGACUGCUCCUGGGAGUGGGGGCCUGGAGGCUUCUGGAGCUCUGCUGCCUUGCCCACGUGUCCCCCAUGCGCCCGUCCACCUUGAGGAGGGUGGUGCCCACGGACCCUCCCUGCCAGUGAGACCACCUUGAGGACCUGGGAAGGGUCCUGGGUGUCUGACUCUUUGACUGGUGCCUCCUCAGUUGCCCAGUCCUAGCUCUGCGCUCCCAGGGAGGCCUCUCUGAAUGUUGGCGCUCCAUAGUGGGGGGUGGUCCAGAUUCUGUAUCUUCCAGAACUCCCACUUCCUGCAUGUUCAACACACUGAGGAGACAGAGCACCCUGGGGCUCCAUUAGCAGAUGAUGUGGGAAUUUCACUUAGACAUACACUGGAUUUGCUUGGAAGAAAUCGGUUAAGAGGCCGCAUGGGGCAGAGACUUAGACCCCAAAGGAAUUCUCAAGUGACAAAAAACAGUUGCCAUUCUGCUUUCUAAGGAGGUGGAUGCUGUUAGCAGAACGUCUUUGUUCGGGAAGAAUUGGGUUUGGGCCAGAUUGUUCUGCGGGAGAGAGGGAGUGAGGAGGGAUUUUGAAGUGAAGUGAAGAAAUGGAUGCGGAGUUACAGGUGGGCAGCAAGGCAGCUGCCCUGAGAAAGGAGGCAAGGUCCGGCCCCCUGGGGGUAGAGCCAGGGGCAGGGGCUCAGGAGAACAGAAAUCCCUAUGGGGAAUUUUCAAGUUAUUUGCGUGGAGAUCUCCAAGGUCAACCCCUCCCCUCCCCCCGCCCUCCACAACAUCAAAAACCACACUUGUUUUCUAGUGCUUUUGUGUGAAUGCUGGCAGCCGAGGACUGUGGGCCCUGGGGGAGUGUGUGCUCCUAGCAGGGGUAGUGGAGGGCCCCGUACACAGUGGUGGUGGGAAAAUCUGUUAAGUGUUUGGAGAACCUUGGGUAAAACUCUCACUUUCACCAGAUUUUAAAGAGGUAAACGCAAAAAACGAAAGAGAAAAGAGAGCAGUCAUAAGUAAACUAAAAGAAAAUAUUUCAUUUUGGGAAGAAGAAGGAUUUUCUAAAUAUAAGAGUCAGUAAAGAAAUCCCAAAGGAAAAGAUAGACACAGGUCAAAAAAUGCUAAAAGACUUAAGAGCAAACCACAGUCUGGGUAAAAAUAUUUGCUACGAAUACCACACAGGGUUAAUGUCUGUAUUGUUAAAAACAAUUUUUUUUAAUAUUUAUUUAUUUUUGAGAGAGAGACACAGAGUGUGAGUGGGGGAGGGGCAGAGAGAGAGGGAGACACAGAAUCUGAAACAGGCUCCAGGCUCCGAGCUGUCAGCACAGAGCCCGACACGGGGCUCGAACUCACAGACUGAGAGAUCAUGCUCUGAGCCGAAGUCGGACGCUUAACCGACCAAGCCACCCAGGUGCCCCUAAUAUCUGUACUGUUGUUGGGGAGGAAAAAUUUUUCUUUUUCUUUACUCUCCUAAGGUUCUUCUCACUGGUCUAAGAAUUAAAUUGACAUGAGACUGAUGAACAGGAGAAAAUAAAAUUUAACUGCAGAAAUCCCACAUAUGUGACAGAUUAAAACACAGACAGGUAAAAUGAGGUAUAUAUGCCAUCUUGAGCUAAGGAAUGGGAUAGGACCUGGGCUUCAAAGAGGAGGAGGGCAAUUUACAGGGCAGUAAGAACAGGUCCAGAUGUUUGGUAUUAGAUGUUUGCCCAGCCAUACAGAUGGGUCACUCAGAUAAGGUUUCUCUCUGGAGAUAACUCUUAUUCUGGGAAAGACUCCCAGUUUAGAUCCCUAUAGGUAAUUAAGGAAGAGGCAAAAGUUUCUCUUUUUUUUUCUUUUCCUAAAUCAACAUGAGUAUUUAUUUAUUAUUUUUUAAAUUUUAUUUUUUAUGUUUAAAAAUUUACAUCCAAAUUAGCAUAUAGUGCAACAAUGAUUUCAGGAGUAGAUUCCUUAGUGCCCCUCCCCCAUUUAGCCCAUCCCCCCUCCCACACCCCAUCCCUAACCCUCAGUUUGUUCUCCAUAUUUGAGUCUCUUAUGUUUUGUCCCCUUCCCUGUUUUUAUAUUAUUUUUGCUUCCCUUCCCUUAUGCUCAUCUGUUUUGUCUCUUAAAGUCCUCAUAUGAGUGAAGUUGUAUGAUUUUUGUCUUUCUCUGACUGACUAAUUUCACUUAGCAGAAUACCCUCUAGUUCCAUACAUGUGGUUGCCAAUGGCAAGAUUUCAUUCUUUUUGAUGGCCGAGUAAUACUCCAUUGUAUCUAUAUACCACAUCUUCUUUAUCCAUUCAUCCAUUGAUGGACAUUUGGGCUCUUUCCAUCCUUUGGCUAUUGUUGAUAGUGCUGCUAUAAACAUGGGGUGCAUGUGUCCCUUCGAAACAGCACACCUGUAUCCCGUGGAUAAAUGCUUAGUAGUGCAAUUGCUGGGUCGUAGGGUAGUUCUAUCUUUAAUUUUUUGAAGAACCUCCAUACUGUUUUCCAGAGUAGCUGCACCAGCUUGCAUUCCCAGAAGAGGCAAAAGUUUCUCUUGAGUCCACGGGGCCUCAAUUGCCUUCAACUCAAAAUAGUCCACAUGCAAAAGUAGUACGUUUGUGGGAGACUUGUUCAGAACCUUUUUACUAUAUAGAGAUUCCAAACAGGUUGAUAAGACACCAUUAAUACCCAAUGGCACAAUAUGCAAAAGACCAGAAAAGACCAUUCGCCAAAGAAAUCUAAAUGACUAAUAAACAUGGGAAAGUAUUUAAAUUAGUAGCCAAAGACUUAUAAGACAAAAAAGCAAGGUAUAUUUAGGUAGUGGGAUUAUAAAUGACCCAAUAACAUUGCUUUCUUUUGGUGAACUGCAUUUUCUAAUUCUUUUUUUUAGUAACCUCAUUUAUUACUUGUCUUAAGAGAAGGUUCGGAAAGCACAUGAUACUAUCAAAUAACAAAUGUCUAGCUAAUGUCAGUGACUUUUAGUUCUGGCGGAUCGUGGGCAUUUUUUUUUCUUUCAAGCUUUUGUGCAUUUUUAACUUCUAGGAUUCAUUUGUCUUUUCAACAACAACUAAAUAGCACUUUACGUAAUAGAACAAAUUUGCAAGUUAAAAUAAAUUCCUUCUUGCUAACCUCCCAGAAGUCUGGGCCCUGUAUGCAAAUAGGAUUCCUGGGAACACCCACACACCCACUCCCCAGCAGGAAGGCCAGUUGAACCCGAGAGACUCUCUCUCCCACCCCAUCUCCCAAACAAAGGGGUACUUUAGCCCUUCCCAAACCACAUGUACACCCCCUCAAGCUGCCCUGCCCCCAUCUCCAGGGUCCUCCCUGAUGCCUCCUCCCCCUCAGGUUUGGCCUGCCAGUGCGGAGGGGUGGGCCAUCCACGCCCCUCGGAGGCUGGGCGAGGUGGCCACGCAGUGUCCCGAGGGGGCCCUGGUACAGACUAGCUUUGAGAGGUCAGAAUCAAACUGUGAUCUCCGCCCACAAGUGCCACCAUCCACCCUCCAAUUACUCCUGGGUGUCUGUUCUGGGCUGAAUUGUAUCCUCUCAAACUUCACGUGUUGAAGUCCUAACCCCCAGUACCUCCGAAUGUGACUGUUAUGUGGAGAUGAGGCCUUUAAAGGGGUAAUUAAGUUAGGAGGAGGUCAUUAGGGUGGGCUUUAAUGCAAUGUGACUGGUGUCCUUGUGAGAAGAGGACAUUUGGAUGCAUACACAGAGGGGAGAAUGGCAUGUGAGCCUGAAGACCAUGUAUAAAUCAAGGAAAGGCUGGGAACGGCCCUCAGCACCCAGAGGGAACGGGUCCUACCGACACCUUCAUAUCUGAACUUCUGUGAGCAAAUACAUUUCUGUUGUUCGAGACUCCCAGUCUGUGGCACUUGGUUCUGGCAGUCCCGGCUGACUAAUACAGAGUCCGUGGGCACAGGAUUAGGCUUUCAAAUGGAAUCCCAAAGAGGUUUAGAUGGCUACUUGCAAAAACCGUAUUACCCAGUUUGAGAGACAAGUUACCUAGCAGUUGUCACAACACAGCCCAGCGGACCAAACGCACAUUCCCAGGAACGUGCAGGUUCCCAGAAUCUAGGAUGUUGGCAGGACUUACGGACGGGGCCAGCCAGAGGCCAAACCAUGGGGUGUGGUGGGGGGUGGGGGCCAUAGGGCUUUGCUUUCAGGCUUCUCUGAUCUCUCCCAGCCUCCCCCCUACCUCCAUCUGCUAGUCACCUACAGGGUACAGGGCUGGGGGCAGGGGUGGGGGCGUGGAGGCGGCAGAGCCUUGAGCCACCCCUCUGCUCACAGCUGCCAGUCUGCAUGGAGCCAGCUUUGCUCCAGCCUCAGGGCAUCCUUCAGGCUGUGUUGCCACAUCUGACCCCUGUGGAUGGUUGACCCAUUUGGAUGGGCUGUGCCUGCUGUCUGUUCUUACCAGAUGCCCCUCAACACAGAGGAGUGGGGAGAGGGGUUCUUUCCCCUCAGAGCAGAUUUCCCCAGUGGUACUGCUCUAAGGGAGAAUUAUUCACUGCUCUCUCGCUCCACACUUGCCGUUUUAGCCUCCUUAGCUCAGGAAAGAAUGAUUUGGAGAAACGAUGAAAAGCUUUAGGUCCUUCCCUGGAAAAAUGCGCAUGCACAGACCCCCCUGCGCCCCACCUCUGAGAUUCGAACUGUUUCUGGUUAUUUGCAUUCCAGGGACCCGCAGACUCCUGAAACUCACCUGCCGUGUGGCUUAUAGGCAAACAGAGGUGUGGACAGGUGGAGGGAGGUUGGGCAGGGAUGCAGUCCAGGAGAAAUUCACCAAAGAAGUGGCCUCUGCGGGGAAGUUGUAAGAACACUCUGGCUGAUCCCGGAAGGCUGUCCCUAGAGGGAGGAAGAGGUCUCAUUUCCUCCUGGAAGCCAAUGGAGUGUUGGAGGAUUCUGGGCAGAAGGGAGGCAUGGAGGAAGCGGGGCUUUGGGAGCAAGUCUCUAAAAGCAUAGCCCUGGGGCGCCUGACUGGCUCAGUUGGUUAAGCCUGCGACUUUGGCUCAGGUCAUGAUCUCCUGAUUCGUGAGUUAGAAUCCCAUGUUGGGCUCUGUGCUGACGGCUCAGAGCCUGGAGCCUGCUUCGGAUUCUGUGUCUCCCUCUCCCUCUGUUCCUCCCCCACUUGCACUCUGUCUCUCAAAAAUAAAUAAAGAUUAAAAACAAUUUUAAAAAUUUGACAAAAUUUGACAAAAUUAAGGAUUUCCAGAUGAGAUCAUCCUGGCAUUAGGGUGGGCCCUAAAUCCAACGACCGGGGUCCUUAGAAGAGAAAGGGGAAGGAGUGGAGAAUGAGACACAGAGGGAACCACAUGAAGACAGAGGCAGAAGGGGAGUGAGUGCCAUGUCUUACAGGCCCAGGAACACGCAGGGUGGCCAGCAACCACCAGAAGUUAGGGGAGAGGCGUGGAGCGAAUUUUCUCUCAAAGCUCCAGAAGGAACCAACCUUGCUGACACCUUGAUUUCUGACUUCUGGUCUCCAGAACUGUGAGAGCAUAAAGCCAUCCAGUGUGCUGGUUUAUGACCACAGCCCUAGAAACUAACAUGGCUUCAUAUGGUGAUCGUAGGUGUUGGAAAAGGACCUCCUGGUUGAGUAAGUUUUGGGACCUGUGAUAAACUAUAGCCUUCUUUGCUGAGGAACCGCUCAGAGUGCUUUGAGAGGCUAUGGAGCUUUAGGAAUUUCCAAGGCGGGUGGGAAUCAGUAUGGAACACUCACUUCCCAAGCAUAACUAAUCAAGAAACUCUUAUGUCUUAGCUCGGGCUGCCAUAACAGAACAUCACAGACUGAGUGAACACUUCCGGAGGCUGCAAAUCCACGAUCAAGGUGUCGGCUGGGUUGGUUUCUGGCUCAACCCUGUAACCCUGUGCAAGUAUCCAAGUCCUCCACCCUCCAGGCAUGGGGGCCAGCCUUCUGGAUAGCUAGAUGCCACGGCUCUACUGUGCAUCACCGAGAGACAUGAUGGGUCAGCCCAGGGCACUGUGGGAAGGCAGGAAGCGGCCCUGACCUGAAUGUGGAUGAGCUUAGGAGCUGAGGAAUCAUUUAUUCACUCAAUAUGUAUCGGGCGCUGCCUCCUAUGACCCGAUGUGGGGAAGGCACAAGAGAAUGAGAUGGUGUGGCACAUUCUUCUGGAACUUUCAGACACAGACAAUAAGCACGAAAAGAAACAAAAUCAUUCCAGACUGUGACUUGCCUUCUGGACAUUUCGUAUGAGUGGAGUCACAGAACAUGUGGAUUUUUGUGACUGGCUUCUUUCACUUUCCAAGGCUCAUUCAAGCUACAGGAUGUAUCUCUACUUCAUUCCAUUGUACGGCCAAAUGAUAUUCCAUUAUAUGAAUGUAUCACAUUUUAUUUUUCCAUGUGUCCAUUGAUGGACAUUUGGGUUGUUUCCACCUUUUGACUAUCCUGAAUACAUCCUGCUGUAAACAUUCAUGCACAAGUUUUUCUGGGGACAUGUGUUUUCAUUUCUUUUGGGUGUAUACUUAGGGGUGGAAUUGCUGGGUUAUACGGUACCUCUCCGUUUAAUCAUUUGAGGAACCAGCAAACUGUUUUCCAAAGUCACUACACCAUUUUCCAUUCCUACAGGGCUGUAUGAGAAUAUAGUUAGCUAUUAAUGCACAACAAAUCACUCCAAAACUUAGCAGGUUAAAACAAUACACAUUUGGGGUGCCUGGGUGGCUCAGUCCAUUAAGUGUCCAACUUCAGCUCAGGUCAUGGUCUCGCGGUGCUUGAGUUCAAGCCCCGCAUUGGGCUCUGUGCUGACAGCUCAGAGCCUGGAGCCUGCUUCGGAUUCUGUGUCUCCCUCUCUCUCUGCCUCUCCCCUUCUCGUGCUCUCUGUCUCUCUCAAAAAUAAAUAAACAUUAAAAAAACCAAUAAAUGUUUGCUAUAUCACACAGUUUUCGAGGGUCAGGAACCCAGGAGCAGCUCAACUAGGUGGUUCUAGCUCAGGGUUCUGCUUAGGGUCUCUCAUGAGGCUGGAAUCAUCAAAAGGUUUGACUGUGUCGGGGAAUCCACUUCCAACAUGGCCACAUGGCUGUCUCACUUGCCUGACGAGGGAGUGUUGGUUGUUGACAGGAGUCCUUAUGCACCUUUCCUAUGUGUACCUUCCCCUGGAUUGCUUGAGCAUCCUCAUAACAUGGCAGCUGGCUUCUGCCAAGAACAAGAGAUCCAAAAGGGAAAAAGGCAGGAGCUACAAUUCUUUUAUGAUCUAGCCUUGGAUAUCAUACACUGUCGUUUCUGUAACAUCCUAUCACACAGUUCAGCCAUUUUCAGUGUGGAAAGGAAAUACACACGGUGUGAGUCCCGGGAAACAGGGGUCAUCGGAGGCCAUCUUGGAAGUCGCCUAUCACAUGAGACAUUUUCCCACCCACUCCCAUCCCUCAUUGGGAGGGUUGCUCCUGGGGUGUUAAGUCCCUGGAACUUUUGGCCUAAACCAGAACAUGCUGAAGACACCAUCAUGCUGAAGACCGGUCUCCCUUUGGCCUAACUCUGAUUUCAGCUGUGCCUAUGGAGGAAGGGUCCCGACUCAAGUGCCUGCCUUGCUCCCUCCACUUUCUGCCCCAGUACCUUCUCUGACACACAACAGCCCUCUGGAUUCUUGUACAAACACAACCAGAAAAUGCAGGAUGCUAAGAGCCCUGGGAGGAAGCCAAUUAACAACCAAUUAUCUGGUCCUCCAGGCAGAUGGGUUUGGGAGGCAUGUAAGCUGCCCUGCUUCAGGAGCUAAGGCAAAGAAAACUGAACUUGUCUCCAAUUAUUCAUUAUUUUACAGAAAGGCUGUGCCUGGUAUCCUCUUACCUCA